Molecule: ribosomal RNA, 1046 nt
Filed under: uncultured organism
Description: bacterial SSU rRNA
Rfam family: Bacterial small subunit ribosomal RNA
Source: RNAcentral
CGGACUCCUACGGGAGGCUGCAGUACCGAAUAUUCCGCAAUGCGCGACAGCGUGACGGAGCAAUGCCGCGUGAAGGAUGAAGCCCCUCGGGGUGUAAACUUCUGUCAGUGGAAUAGGAACAAAAUGACCGUUCCCAAAGGAAGGGCCGGCUAACUUCGUGCCAGCAUCCGCGGUAAUACGAAGGGCCCGAGCGUUGCGCGGAAUCACUGGGCUUAAAGGGUGCGUAGGCGGAACUGUAAGUACUUUGUGAAAUCCCUCGGCUCAAGCGGGGAAUUGCUUGGUAUACUGCGGUUCUUGAGGCCAGUAGGGGCAGCCGGAACUCUAGGUGGAGCGGUGAAAUGCAUAGAUAUCUACAGGAACGCCAAAGGUGAAUACAGGCUGCUGGGCUGGACCUGACGCUGAGUGCACGAUAGCGUGGUGAGCAAACAGGAUUAGAUACCCUGGGUAGUCCACGCCGUAAACGUUGUGCACUAGGUCCCGGAGCUUUUGACGCCAUCCGGGGAUGGAGCGAAAGGACGAAGUGCACCGACUUGUCGAGUACGGUCGCAAGGCUGAAACUCAAAGGAAUUGACGGGGGCUCACACAAGCGGUGGAGCAUGUGGCGUAAUUCGAAGCAACGCGAAGAACCUUAUCCUGGGUUUGACAUGUAUGGAUUGGCCCUCGUGGAAGCGAGGCCACGCCCUGUUGGGUGGAACAGACACAGGUGUUGCAUGGCUGUCGUCAGCUCGAGCCGUGAGCUGUUAGGUUAAGUCCUUCAACGAGGGAAACCACGGGCCGUUAGUUGCCAGCGCGCCUUCGGGUGGCGCGGGACUCUAGCAGGGACGGCCGGUGUCAAACCGGAGGAAGGUGGGGAUGACGUCAAGUCCUCAUGGCCUUUAGGCCCAGGGCUGCACACGUGCUACAAUGGCGCGCACAGAGCGAAGCGAUGCCGCGAGGCGGAGCAAAUCGCAAGAAACGCGCCCCAGUUCAGAUUGUAGUCUGCAACUCGAGUACAUGAAGGCGGAAUCGCUAGUAAUCGCGUAUCAGCAAUGACGCGGUGAAUAUGU